Molecule: ribosomal RNA, 69 nt
Filed under: Poa chaixii
Lineage: Eukaryota; Viridiplantae; Streptophyta; Magnoliopsida; Poales; Poaceae
Description: partial 26S ribosomal RNA
Rfam family: Eukaryotic large subunit ribosomal RNA
Source: RNAcentral
GCGACCCCAGGUCAGGCGGGACUACCCGCUGAGUUUAAGCAUAUAAAUAAGCGGAAGGAGAAGAAACUU